Long non-coding RNA from Musa acuminata AAA Group (dessert banana), 1598 nucleotides. RefSeq lists it as uncharacterized. The transcript has 4 exons. NCBI's taxonomy places the organism in Eukaryota, Viridiplantae, Streptophyta, Magnoliopsida, Zingiberales, Musaceae. The record is from RefSeq and is a predicted model, not a curated record.
CCAAAAGGAUUCUUGAUCCAGUCGCUCGGUGGGAAGAUGGAAUCCGGGUCCGAUGAUCCCUCGGAGCUAGCUCGCGGGCGGCGCGCCGUUCUCUCCGCCCACCUCGCCACUGACCGCUGUUCCUUUGGCUUAACUCCGGCAUUGGAGAGAUCGUCUGCCCUCUCUCUCGAGGCAUCGCGGCCGUCCGUAAACCUCGGGGAAGCUAAAAGCUACUUUGCACUGAUAUCAAAUAUAUGAUUGGGAGAGACUGAUAGGACCUUUUGUAGAUUAGUACCGGUACAAAUGACAAGGGACUCUAGCUAUAUGAUCCGGGUUACCUUAACACUGCGCCGGUUCGGUCUUCCAUUUGUUAUAUGGAUGGAGAUGAAGGGAUACUUCGUUACAGAGGGUAUCGAUCGAGGAGCUAGCUGAGAGGAGCACGUUCCUUGAGCAAGCAGAUUGGGAGUUUGCAAUUUCACAGUACUCUGCUGUUCCACUGGACGUCCUGGUUCGUCUUUGUUUCCACUGUUAUUUGAAUUGCUUGUUGGCUUCAUUUGGCAUGUGGAAAUCAACCUUCUGUUCUUUUAUUUCCCGUUUGAGUCUAUAGCUAUAUUGUGAUUACUAAUACUGUAUCAUUAACUAUUCUGAUUUUCAUAGCAUUGUACACUGCUCCUUUUUAGGGUAUUAUACAAUCAAUUGCACACGAUAUAUGUUAGCUCUCAAGUAGGGUAAAGAACUUUGAUUUUCAUGUUAUCCUUAAUACCACAACCUUUCAAUUACAUUUUAGGGGUAAUCGAUCAUAUGUCCCUAACCCUCGACUGUCAAGGGUUCUUGAUAUACUUUUCAUCCUACUUGCGGAACAUGAAAUGAACUGCUCCACAGCUGCUGUCAGGCAUCUUGCUUCAAGGUACAUAGGUCCUUUCCAUGGUGGGGCUAAUGAGUUACAACAUUAGUUCUGUUGUGUCUUUGUUUUAUUGCAGUUUAUAUUUCACUGUAAAUUUAGUUUAUCUGUAAAUUCUUUCUGGCAAAAGCAUAGUGAUCUUUUUUUUUUUUUCGAUUUUACAACCAGGUCUUUUUUCUUGUGAUAUAUGUUAUUUUCCUUGCCAUCUUUUUAUCCAUGGUUUAUUAGACAAUACGUACAGCAUCAGUUAUGUUGUAUUUUUGUUUUUUUUACAGUUUUUCUCUCUCUCUUAUAACCAGGUCUUUUUGUUUGUGUUGUAUGUUAUUUCCUUACUGUCCUUUUACCCAUGGUUUAUUAGACAAUUAAAUCAUUUUUUGAUCAUUUUUUUGCAAAUACAUAUGGAAUUUUGAGAAGCAAAUAGGAAACAUCUCUAAAGUUGUGUUGAAUAUCUUGUGCAUGACAUGCUGUCCCUAAAAUGCUGAAUGAAAUUGGACAAGUCAAGAACAUUCCAGGGUUCAUUGAGGGUGUGAAAAACAGAAAUCAGAAAUUAUCAGGUUUUGGACAUCGUGUCUACAAAAACUGUGAUCCUUGUGCUAAGGUCAUCUGCAAGUUGGCUGAGGAAGUUUUCUCAAUUGUUGGGCAUGAUCCUUUGAUUGAGGUUUCCUUGUUAUCUUGUUAUUUCUAUGAAAUUCAGUAAUAUUCUUUAUUAAAAAUUAAA